UUUUUUUUUUUUAAGGUUUUUUUUUUUUUUAAAGUAUUAUUAUUAAAUGGGGAGUUUUGCAACUGAUUGCAAACAAUAACUUCAGGUAUGUAUAUCUACUCUAUAGAGUUUGGAGAUCAUACUACUGUACAAUGGCAAAGGUGAGAGAUGGAUUUCAGUCUUGAAGCAUAUCCCUUUCCUGAAUACGUAGCAGAUUUGUUGUCUCGUAUAAAACUUGUUGCUUUUGCUGAGAUUACCCUGUUGUAGUUUGUGUGGAUCUUUUACUUCAGUAAGACACAGGCUUUGAGACACAGGCAAAGUAUAUAUGGCAAUUCGAGGAUGAUAAAUAUUUUUUUUCCUGGACUAAGGGCCUUGCAAAUGCUCAUGUAUUUUGCUGCCACAGUUGAAGUAAACUAAUCUUUGGAGCAUUUUCCCUAUAUGUUACUGUUUUUAAUGAUAUGUAAUUCAGUUCUUGGUCUUAGUGGACAUAUUCAUGUAGGUAUUUUCCCCAUUUUCACCAGCUUUUUCCACACCUUUUUCUUGCACUGUUGUUCUUUGUGCAUUAAAGAAUUUAGUUUACUGGAGAACUAGUGUGGGUUUUUUUUAUUUGAUGUUUUUUGGGUGUUUCUUUUUUUCUUUCUUUUUUUAUUUAUUUUUAUUUUUUUUUAGGUUUGUGGAUUAAAUAGGUCUGCUUGAGAGUUUCACUCAGGAUUUUCAUAAAUUAUAAAUUACCUUUUUAUAUUGUCUGUCCAAAUGAGAGAUUGAGGAGACUUCACUUGCUCAAUAUUUGUGGCAGAUUAAUUAAACUUCUUUUAUGUAAUAAGCAUGUGAUGCAAAUGCUAUUAAGAUCCUGAUCUUUUACUGUCCUGCCAUUUUCACAUUAGGACUAGUAUCCACUAUAUUAACUAAUUGCUGUAGAUUAAGGUUUUUUUUUCAUCCAGGCUGAAUGUUGGCCUAGUGCUGGCAAUAGAAGUGGGUUUCUGAAGUGUGUAAGCAGUUUUAUAUGUUUUAGAACAUUUUUGAAUUUCAUUUGCAAGCUGAAAAUUUGAAAGCAAACAACUGAACAGAAAAUCCUUCUCUUUGUCUCCUGCAAGGAGAACUAUGUGCAUGAGAAUGUUUUUCAUAAUACUGUCUUGUAAGGAUUCGGUGUACUGUAAAUGAGACUGAAGACUUCCAUUUUUCAACUUCCAUUUAAAAAAAAAAAAAAAAAGCCUAUUUGUAUAUUUCAUUAAUGUACAUCCUGUUUUGUAAAAAUGCAUAGGUU
Molecule: long non-coding RNA, 1243 nt
Filed under: Strigops habroptila (Kakapo)
Lineage: Eukaryota; Metazoa; Chordata; Aves; Psittaciformes; Psittacidae
Description: lncRNA (ENSSHBG00005020805.1)
Source: RNAcentral